This 818-nucleotide ribosomal RNA is filed under the name uncultured Atopobium sp. Its description in RNAcentral is "bacterial SSU rRNA". It matches the Rfam family "Bacterial small subunit ribosomal RNA", at positions 37 to 872 of the family's 1533-position model. Lineage: Bacteria; Bacillati; Actinomycetota; Coriobacteriia; Coriobacteriales; Atopobiaceae. The record is from RNAcentral.
UGGCGGCGCGCUACACAUGCAAGUCGAACGAUUAAAGCACCUUCGGGUGUGUAUAAAGUGGCGAACGGCUGAGUAACACGUGGGCAACCUGCCCCUCUCAUUGGGAUAGCCACGGGAAACCGUGGAUAAUACCGAAUACUUCGAGACUUCCGCAUGGAAGACUCGAGAAAGCUCCGGUGGAGAGGGAUGGGCCCGCGGCCUGUUAGCUUGUUGGUGGGGUAACGGCCUACCAAGGCAAUGAUGGGUAGCUGGGUUGAGAGACCGACCAGCCAGAUUGGGACUGAGACACGGCCCAGACUCCUACGGGAGGCAGCAGUGGGGAAUCUUGCACAAUGGGCGAAAGCCUGAUGCAGCGACGCCGCGUGCGGGAUGAAGGCCUUCGGGUUGUAAACCGCUUUCAGCAGGGACGAGGCGAAAGUGACGGUACCUGCAGAAGAAGCCCCGGCUAACUACGUGCCAGCAGCCGCGGUAAUACGUAGGGGGCAAGCGUUAUCCGGAUUCAUUGGGCGUAAAGCGCUCGUAGGCGGUCUGUUAGGUCGGGAGUUAAAUCCGGGGGCUCAACCCCCGUUCGCUCCCGAUACCGGCAGACUUGAGUUUGGUAGGGGAAGGUGGAAUUCCUAGUGUAGCGGUGGAAUGCGCAGAUAUUAGGAAGAACACCAGUGGCGAAGGCGGCCUUCUGGGCCAUAACUGACGCUGAGGAGCGAAAGCUAGGGGAGCAAACAGGAUUAGAUANCCUGGUAGUCCUAGCCGUAAACGAUGGACACUAGGUGUGGGGGAAUAUUUCUUCCGUGCCGCAGCUAACGCAUUAAGUGUCCCGC